CUACUUCUGUUUGAGACAUGGCUAGCGCUGUUUGCUGAGGAAACGCACCGUAGAUCGUUACACGAGGCCUUGUAUCGUGCCCAAGCGACAGUAUGGUGUCCCUGUGGGUUAUGGUGACGCGCAUGAGUAAGGUCAUGUCACCCCUGAAGAUGGCGAAGGCAAUAGCUUCCGUGAUAAGGGGGAAGCUCUGCUUUUGCAAAAAGAAGAAGAAGAGACUGGCAAAGAAGAAUUCGAAGGGAAAGGCGUCACAGAACACAAAUAAGUCAGAUGGCCCACCAGAGAAGGGACGCAAAGCAGGCAGUUUGGAAAAGGCCAAAAAUUUGAAAGCAGGCAGUUUGGAAAAGGCCAAGAAUUUGAAAGCAGGCGGUUUGGAUAAGGCCAAGAAUUUGAAGAAACGUUUUCUGAAGUGAUCGAGACUCAACCAGACACUGUAGGAGCUGCCACAGCAACAUCCCAUUCCUUACCAGUAUCUGACAUAUAGACCGAUCCUGACAUCAUUAGCAGUUCAACCAAUCAGAGCCUGUCAAUUAGAAGCGUA
Long non-coding RNA from Branchiostoma floridae (Florida lancelet), 538 nucleotides. RefSeq lists it as uncharacterized. The transcript is spliced from 2 exons. The record is from RefSeq and is a predicted model, not a curated record. Lineage: Eukaryota; Metazoa; Chordata; Leptocardii; Amphioxiformes; Branchiostomatidae.